This 251-nucleotide unclassified non-coding RNA is filed under the name Xylaria allantoidea. RNAcentral describes it as "partial internal transcribed spacer region". The stretch from base 1 to 46 matches the Rfam family "Eukaryotic small subunit ribosomal RNA", at positions 1786 to 1831 of the family's 1831-position model. The record is from RNAcentral. Lineage: Eukaryota; Fungi; Ascomycota; Sordariomycetes; Xylariales; Xylariaceae.
AAGUCGUAACAAGGUCUCCGUUGGUGAACCAGCGGAGGGAUCAUUAAAGAGUUCUAUAACUCCCAAACCCAUGUGAACAUACCUUACGUUGCCUCGGCAGGUCGUGCCUACCCCGUAGCGCCCUACCCUGUAGGACCUACCCGGUAGACGCGGGUAAGCCUGCCGGCGGCCCACGAAACUCUGUUUAGUAUUGAAUUCUGAACCUGUAACAAAAUAAGUUAAAACUUUCAACAACGGAUCUCUUGGUUCUG